CGGCGUACUUGACCUUUUACAACCUAAUUCGCCUGAAAUUCAGAGGAAAACAGAGGGUUUUUUUGGCAAUUUCAAGAUAGGAUCAAUCCACGACGUGUAGCAGAAACAACUCCGGUGAACUUAAGGACGAUUCCGGCGAGAUUUGUGCCAGAAACCAAAUUAAGACCAUCGGAUCCCUUAAAUCUUCUCAAUGCUCGAUCCUCCUCUCACAGUGUGUGUGCGAUUUUUUGUGUAUUUCCUGUGCCGGAAGAAGAAGAGCAGAAAAAAAAUGGCAUUGAUUGUGCUCUCUUUUUUUUCUCUCUCACCGUACCUUUCUCAUUAUCCGUCUACUCCAUUAUUGUGUGUGUGUGAUGCUGUGAGGUGAGUGAUCCUUAUGGAAGUGAUGAUGGAUUUUGG
This 396-nucleotide long non-coding RNA is filed under the name Capsicum annuum. Its description in RNAcentral is "long non-coding RNA (CANN_LNC002351)". The record is from RNAcentral. Lineage: Eukaryota; Viridiplantae; Streptophyta; Magnoliopsida; Solanales; Solanaceae.